Molecule: ribosomal RNA, 484 nt
Filed under: uncultured bacterium
Lineage: Bacteria
Description: partial 16S ribosomal RNA
Rfam family: Bacterial small subunit ribosomal RNA
Source: RNAcentral
AUUGAACGCUGGCGGCAGGCCUAACACAUGCAAGUCGAGCGGAUGAAGGGAGCUUGCUCCUGGAUUCAGCGGCGGACGGGUGAGUAAUGCCUAGGAAUCUGCCUGGUAGUGGGGGAUAACGUCCGGAAACGGGCGCUAAUACCGCAUACGUCCUGAGGGAGAAAGUGGGGGAUCUUCGGACCUCACGCUAUCAGAUGAGCCUAGGUCGGAUUAGCUAGUUGGUGGGGUAAAGGCCUACCAAGGCGACGAUCCGUAACUGGUCUGAGAGGAUGAUCAGUCACACUGGAACUGAGACACGGUCCAGGCUCCUACGGGAGGCAGCAGUGGGGAAUAUUGGACAAUGGGCGAAAGCCUGAUCCAGCCAUGCCGCGUGUGUGCAGAAGGUCUUCGGAUUGUAAAGCACUUUAAGUUGGGAGGAAGGGCAGUAAGUUAAUACCUUGCUGUUUUGACGUUACCAACAGAAUAAGCACCGGCUAACUUCGUG